Molecule: non-coding RNA, 145 nt
Organism: Caenorhabditis elegans
Lineage: Eukaryota; Metazoa; Nematoda; Chromadorea; Rhabditida; Rhabditidae
Source: Ensembl
UGAAGAAACGGUAGAAAUAUGGAGAGAUGGAGAGAUCAUUAAGCGGAGUUGAACGGUAAAGAAAACAGAAAACUCGCGCGCGGGAGGAGAAGGUGGAUGAGGACGGCAAUUUGAAACAGCUACUUUAUACGGAAAUCAGAACACA